Molecule: ribosomal RNA, 478 nt
Filed under: uncultured bacterium
Lineage: Bacteria
Description: partial 16S ribosomal RNA
Rfam family: Bacterial small subunit ribosomal RNA
Source: RNAcentral
GACGAACGCUGGCGGCGUGCUUAACACAUGCAAGUCGAGCGAUGAAGUUCUUUCGGGAAUGGAUUAGCGGCGGACGGGUGAGUAACACGUGGGUAACCUGCCUCAUAGAGGGGAAUAGCCUUCCGAAAGGAAGAUUAAUACCGCAUAAGAUUGUAGUUUCGCAUGAAACAGCAAUUAAAGGAGCAAUCCGCUAUGAGAUGGACCCGCGUCGCAUUAGCUAGUUGGUGAGGUAACGGCUCACCAAGGCGACGAUGCGUAGCCGACCUGAGAGGGUGAUCGGCCACAUUGGGACUGAGACACGGCCCAGACUCCUACGGGAGGCAGCAGUGGGGAAUAUUGCACAAUGGGGGAAACCCUGAUGCAGCAACGCCGCGUGAGUGAUGACGGUCUUCGGAUUGUAAAACUCUGUCUUCAGGGACGAUAAUGACGGUACCUGAGGAGGAAGCCACGGCUAACUACGUGCCAGCCGCCGCGGUAA